GUCCGGCUGACGAGUCCCAGGUAGGACGAAAGGAGCGUCCUAGAU
RNAcentral lists this non-coding RNA (45 nucleotides) under Schistosoma mattheei. Lineage: Eukaryota; Metazoa; Platyhelminthes; Trematoda; Strigeidida; Schistosomatidae. The record is from RNAcentral.